GACGAACGCUGGCGGCGUGCUUAACACAUGCAAGUCGAACGAAGAGCGAUGGAAGCUUGCUUCUCUCAAUCUUAGUGGCGAACGGGUGAGUAACGCGUAAUCAACCUGCCCUUCAGAGGGGGACAACAGUUGGAAACGACUGCUAAUACCGCAUACGAUCUAACCUCGGCAUCGAGGAGAGAUGAAAGGUGGCCUCUACAUGUAAGCUAUCACUGAAGGAGGGGAUUGCGUCUGAUUAGCUAGUUGGGGAGGUAACGGCCCACCAAGGCGAUGCUCAGUAGCCGGUCUGGGAGGAUGGACGGCCACAUUGGGACUGAGACACGGCCCAGACUCCUACGGGAGGCAGCAGUGGGGGAUCUUCCGCAAUGGACGGAAGUCUGACGGGGCAACGCCGCGUGGGCGAUGGCGGCCUUCGGGUUGUUAAGCUCUGUUAAUCGGGACGAAAGGCCUUCUUGCGAAUAGUGAGAAGGAUUGACGGUACCGAAAUAGAAAGCCACGGCUAACUACGUG
Molecule: ribosomal RNA, 510 nt
Filed under: uncultured bacterium
Lineage: Bacteria
Description: partial 16S ribosomal RNA
Rfam family: Bacterial small subunit ribosomal RNA
Source: RNAcentral